UUUGCUUUAAUGUUGCUUUGUAAUAAUUUGAGGAAUAACUAGCUAUAUUAGUUUUCUAUUGCUCUUGUAACAAAUUACACUAAUUUAUUCUUUCACAGUUCUAGAAGCCAGAAGUCCGAAAUCAAGGUGUUGGAAAGGCCACGCUCCCUGUGGAGCUUGAGAAGAAAAUCUUUUUCCUCACCCUCUCCAAGACUCCAGAGCGGCAAGCCUUGCCUUCCCUAGCCCUUGGCCUCUUCCUCCAUCUUCAAAGUCGGCAGUUCAACAUCUUCACAUCUCCCUUUGCUUUCAUCCUUAUAUCACCUUCUCUUCCAUAGUCUCACCUCCCUCUGUUUCCCUCUAGUAAGGACUUAUGAUUACAUCCUUGAGCUCACUUGAGUAAUCCAGAAUACUCUUCCUAUCCCCAGACCUCUAAUCCAAUCACAUCUGCAGAGUCCCUUUUGCCAUCUAAGGUAACAUAUUCACAGGGUCAGGGGAUUAGGAUGCAGAUUUAGGGAGAUUAUUUAGUUUAUCACGCUAUCUUGGGUUCUAUUCUGCCUGGUCCUAAGGCCAGGAUUCUUCAAGUAACUUCUGUGUUCAGCUAGCUCAACUGAGGCAAAGUAAUAAAAACCCUUAGUUUCCUCAUCCUAUACAGUAUAGAAUAAACUUCCUACUUAGAGCAAGUGACAAUUAAAUCAUCAAUUAAACUUAGCUAAAGCCAAAUUCAGACUGCCUAAAAAGAAUAGUGCAUCUGGUCAUUGAGAUGGAGCUGCUCAUUUUUCAGUAGUAGUUCAUCCUCCUUAAGAAUAUGAUUGUCAUCAUUUGUUUGCCAACUUCAAUAAAAAAUUCAUCUAGAAUGGCUGCUUCAGGGGAUGCUGGGCAAAUACUGCUUUUUGUUUCAAUUUGAACACAAACACAAUUCACUGGCAUCCUAUCAUAGCUUUAACUAUCAUUUUAAAUGUAUUCUUACCUAACCUAACACAAUUUCAUUUUAUUAGUAGCAUAAAAACAACUCACACCAUAAUUUUUCUACUGACAAUGUGGCCACUUGAAGGCAUCAUAAACUCCUAAGCACAGAUUUAUAAUUCAUACAUUAUUUAAAAAGAAGAGACUCUUAAUACAUUUUAUCUUCAAAAGAAAGUAAUAUAUUUCAAUUGAGAGUAGAGAGAACAAUUCAAGCAUGUAUGCAGAAGUAUUCUUACCAUAUAACUAGAUUAUAAUAUUUACAUGUAUGAAAUCUCAUUGACUCAGAAAAUAAGUAAUAAUCUCUGCUAAAGGGAAUAUUUCAUAAGGUAAAUCAGAUAAAGAAAACAAAGCAUUAAAUGCAAAUACUUGUGAGAAUGAUAGGAGUCAGAUGUGCAUUAAAACAUCUUUUUAUAGAAUAAGAUAAACUUAAGAACAUAAUCUAAAGUAACCACAUUCAAAAGCAACAGUGUAUAAAUUAACUGUUUUCAUUUUAUGGUAGCUCUUAGACUGCUUAUUUUUCAGGUUAUAAAAAUAAAUAAUAAAUGGUUCUAGUGGUUUUAGGAGUAUGUAAUUUGAGAAAGUUAAUAUCCAAAGUCAAAAUACUGUUAACCAAAGGUCUGAACUGAUAAAUGAAUUAAUAGCAGUUACUAUACAAUGCAUUUAGCAUUUUAUUUUAUUUUAUUUUUGUCUCUUUGCCUUUUCUAGGGCCGCUUCCACGGCAUAUGGAGAUUCCCAGGCUAGGGGUCUAAUUGGAGCCAUAGCCACUGGCCUACGCCAGAGCCACAGCAACUCGGGAUCCUACUCGUGUCUGCAAUCUACAUCACAGCUCACAGCAACACAGGAUCCUUAACCCACUGAGCAAGGUGGGAUCGAACCCGCAACCUCAUGGUUCCUAGUCAGAUUCGUUAACUACUGUGCCACAACGGGAACUCCGCAUUUAGUAUUUUAAAAGCAGAUCUUGAAGUUUCCUUUUUAUAACCUUUAUCCCAUUCCUUACCUAAAUCUCACUAAAAUGAAAAUAAAGGAAUCAAGUUUAAACAUAGAUGUGCAUAGAUGACAGGAGAUGGGACGUCAGCAGACAAGAGGUGACAGCCAAAUUUUGGAAAAAAGAAAGUGGACCUAAGUGAGGUUACUGAGUUAGCCAAAGGGAGAUUUUGCUGACUUGGGAGGGGAAGUGAAUUUACCAGCAGGAUGGAAACAAGCUCAGAUGCACAGUCCCUGCUAAACUUAGGAAUUAAUGGUCAGGGACCUUGGAAGUCCAGGAUUCAGAGAAGGACAGAAAGCAGGAUUAUUUUCUUAAGUUCAUAUAAGCACUUGCAGAUACUCAGACCCCAUGGUCCACUCAGACUGCCAAUCCAUUACUCUUUCCACACCUCAUAGACAACAGGAAGUUUACUUCCUGGAAGGAUUCACAAACUGAGGGUGGGGGUGAAGUGCUACACUGAAAACAAGGGUUAAAUAUACUUGUCUAUAUUAAAUGAAAGCAAAGAAUUCUUUUCCAGGGAAACUAAGUGGCCCAAGCAAAGACCUGGAGAUUCUGACUGACAUUUGGAUGCCCUCAAAAAAAAAAAAAAAUAAUCUGGUCCUUGCCCAUUUACCCAAAGAUGCCCCCCACCCCGUCACAUACACACACACAAACACACACACACACACACACAUACACACACACUCUCUCUCUCUCUCUCUUUUCUCAUCAAUCUUUUCUGUACUGUUUGGUACUGAGGUCUGGAUCCAAAACAAAAUGAAACAAAACAAAAACUUGUAAAAAAGAGUGCAAGAAGAAGAAACUAAAUAAGUGUAUGAGUGUGUGAUAUAUUUGUGUUUGAGUAUCUUUAGACAUAAAAGAAGAGAUAUUGCAGAUACUGCACCUAUAUAAUUUGAUCAGGAAACUAUAAAUAGGAGCAUUUAGAAAACAAGAAAGAAUGCUUAGAAAUUAAAACGAUUGUCAAAAACAUUCCAAUACAAGCAUAUAAAGAUCGAAGAAAUCUCUCAGAAUGUAAAAAUAAAACAAACUGAUGGAAAAUAGGAGACCAAAAACUAAAUAAAAUAGAGAAUCAAUCCAGGAAAUCCACAUCUGAUUAAUUAGUGUCCCAGAAAGAGAAAACAGAGAAUCAGAAAUGAUCCAAUAAAAUAGAGCACAAUUAUCUCAUACUGAAGGCAUGCAUUUCUGGAUUAAAAGAAUCAGCCAAACGGAGAGAGCACAAAUGAAUGGAAAAGGCUUACAUCAAGAUAGAAUAUUGUAAAUUUCAGAACAUCAGGUUAAAAAAAAAUGGAAAAUCUUUUAAAAAUAACCAGUCACAUACAAUAGAGGCUAUCAUGGUUCUCAAACUGGUAGGUAGACAAGACUAGAAUGAGACAUUGCCUUUAAAAUUCUGAAGGGCAAUUUUGUUCAACCCAGAAUCUUAAAACUAGCCAUAUGAUCAAUUCCAUGUGGAGGUAUAAAAAGACUAUUUGUGACAAUGAAAAUUUUGAGGAAUUUAUCCUUCAACCAGUCUUUCUCAAGAAGCUACUGAAAAGUGUUCUCCAUAAGAUAUGGCCAAAGUUACUCAGAAAACAGGGGACCAAUAUGAGGGUGAGGCAGAGGAAGUUCCCAGAGCAAUGAAGAAGAGAAAUACCAAGCAACAACUGUGCUACAAAAAUAAGAGAAACCAACCCCACUGCAGCAGUUGACUUGAUGACCCUAAAAGAGCUGUCUAUCAAGAAAAAAGAGGACUAUUACAUUCCUUUCCGUGUUUAGCUUUAUUGAAGAGAGCCUAUAUUUUUUCUUAGAAAGUUUGUAUUGAAAUAGUUUUACUUACAGAGAAAAAUAAACAAAUGAGAUAAAUUGAGGAAUUUCUGGCUCUUCCAAAAAAGUCAGAAAAGAAAAAAAUGCAACCAUUAUAUCACACCAAAUGGCUUGUCUAUGAUCCAUAUUUAUACAGUUACAUAAAUACUGAAUAUUGAUUGAAUAAAAACACAUGGCUUAAGUUUUUGGAGAAUGGAGGAGAGAGAAAAAUGUAUAUUGCAAGGAAUGGGGAUAGACCCAAAGUAAGAAAGCUCAAUCAUCAUUUUCUGUGGUAGGAAGACAAUUGAAAUAGAAAUAUCAGACAACAGCAAUCUGGUCAUUUUAUUUAAAAAUAUAAAAUUACAUAUGAGAAGAAAUAGCUAUGAAGGAGUUGAAAUUUGGUCCAGUUUAGGGUGUACAGACCGAGGAAUGAGAGUGGUGGCUCAGUAGAGAGCUUUUGUUCAAAAAAAUAAAAAAUUGGUCUAUUAUUCUUUGAUUUUUAAAACUAUGAACAUGUGCAACUUUCACAAAAUACAAACACAUUUUUAUGGAAAGCUAACAUCUAGUAAAAUUCUAUAAUCUACUAAUGGCCAGCUCUUUUCAAUGGAAUAAUCCAAACAUGUUUUGACAUUGCAUACCAAAUGUCACUUGAUUCAUUUGUUUUCUGGCAUUCCUAUGACUGCAAUUGCAAUUUGCAGAGGCUUCAAGAUGGCUUUAAGAUAAUUUCAAAGCUUUCAGCAUAAAUUGACCCUCUUAAACAAUUGCGCAUAAAUUUUCUCAGGCUCAAGCUGACCAAAUGGCAAUCAAAAUGAAACACAAACAGGAUGUUAAUAUUGCCUUAUUGUUCAGUGAGCGUGAGUGAAAACAAAGCAAACUACAACCACUGCUCAUACUCUUGGAGGGAACAGUUUCCCAUUGGGAUAAUUAUGUGUUUUCAAAAUGUAUGAAUUCAAACGAAGAAACAAAUGUGUAUGUUUGUUAUGCGCCAGGCACUGUGCUGGAUAAACAGGAAAAAGAAAGAUGCAUAAGAUGUAGACACUUCAUUUGAGGAGUUUGUAAUCAAGGAAACUAAAACACUAGAAGCUCUCUUAACUGAGUUCUAUUUAAGUGACUUGCCAGACUAACCCUCACUAGCCAUUUUCUCCUUGAAACACAAGGAAUGCUGUUCAUAGCAUGUGAUACCCUCAAGCUAGUGACUAUUCUUUCACCAUUAGCUU
RNAcentral lists this long non-coding RNA (4923 nucleotides) under Sus scrofa (pig). RNAcentral's name for it is "lncRNA (ENSSSCG00000061340.1)". Lineage: Eukaryota; Metazoa; Chordata; Mammalia; Artiodactyla; Suidae. The record is from RNAcentral.